GACGAACGCUGGCGGCGUGCCUAACACAUGCAAGUGGAGCGACGAACCAGGCUUCGGCCUGGAGCAAAGCCGCGAACGGGUGAGUAACACGUGGGUAACCUGCCCUGAUGAUUGGGACAACCCGAGGAAACUCGGGCUAAUACCGAAUGUGCCCCCUGGUCCUCGAAGGCCUACGGGGAAAGGAGCUUCGGCCUCCGCAUCGGGAUGGGCCCGCGGCGCAUUAGCUUGUUGGUGAGGUAACGGCNCACCAAGGCGACGAUGCGUAGCUGGUCUGAGAGGACGAUCAGCCACACUGGGACUGAGACACGGCCCAGACUCC
This 319-nucleotide ribosomal RNA is filed under the name uncultured bacterium. Its description in RNAcentral is "bacterial SSU rRNA". It matches the Rfam family "Bacterial small subunit ribosomal RNA", at positions 28 to 339 of the family's 1533-position model. The record is from RNAcentral.